RNAcentral lists this transfer RNA (107 nucleotides) under Trametes sanguinea. Its description in RNAcentral is "tRNA-Thr". It matches the Rfam family "tRNA". From Rfam's summary of the family: Transfer RNA (tRNA) molecules are approximately 80 nucleotides in length. Their secondary structure includes four short double-helical elements and three loops (D, anti-codon, and T loops). Further hydrogen bonds mediate the characteristic L-shaped molecular structure. tRNAs have two regions of fundamental functional importance: the anti-codon, which is responsible for specific mRNA codon recognition, and the 3' end, to which the tRNAs corresponding amino acid is attached (by aminoacyl-tRNA synthetases). tRNAs cope with the degeneracy of the genetic code in two manners: having more than one tRNA (with a specific anti-codon) for a particular amino acid; and 'wobble' base-pairing, i.e. permitting non-standard base-pairing at the 3rd anti-codon position. The record is from RNAcentral. Lineage: Eukaryota; Fungi; Basidiomycota; Agaricomycetes; Polyporales; Polyporaceae.
UCCCGCUUAGCUCAGUUGGUAGAGCGCGUCACUAGUACCACAGCUUGCCCAUUCCAACGGCUGGGGAAAUGAUGACGAGGUCAGUCGUUCGAGUCGGCUAGUGGGAA